UUCCUUUUUUUAUAGUCGUAUCCUUCCUUAAUAAGAAAUAAUUUGAAAAAUCAGUACAGUUGUGGUAGAUGUGGUUUAGGUUUGUGGGAUAAGGAUGACUUAGUUUUUCAUAGUCAUGCCAACAAUCAGUUUUGCACUUCCUUCUUUACUAAGCCCAUGGAGUGGAUGCAUAUUCCGCUAGGUCUUAUUUCAGGAAAACUUUUUUGCCCCAAAUGCCACUAUCGUUUAGGGUCCUUUCAUAUGGCUGGCAUUCAAUGUUCGUGUGGAAGUUGGGUCAGCCCAGGUUAUCAACUUCAUCAAAAAAAAGUCCGUUGGUAAGUGGAUAUGGGUGACCGUUAUAUUAAUCUUAAAAGUUUUAGUAGGACUCUAGCAAAAUUGCAAUAGACAGCUUGACAAGUCAUCGUUCCUCUUCUUAUUGGAUUUUUAAGACUUUGAUUUGCUUUACUAAGAUUACAUUGGAAGUUAGUUUAAGUUUUUACAAAAGCUUGUCCCCUGCUAUUGGAAAGUAUUUAAUAUAAGCACCUAUGCUUUUUUAAUUUCUUGUUA
Zophobas morio is the source of this 546-nucleotide RNA transcript. It is a transcript of the gene named dual specificity protein phosphatase 12-like, with no coding region annotated. The transcript has 4 exons. The record is from RefSeq and is a predicted model, not a curated record. Lineage: Eukaryota; Metazoa; Arthropoda; Insecta; Coleoptera; Tenebrionidae.